UGAGUCAUCCAGGCGCCCUUUCCAGGGGACUUUGUUCUUUUUCCCAAACCCGUCUCUUAACUGAUGCCCUUACCACGCCCAAAUGGGUGCUUUCCGUCCAGGACCACUCAUUCCCAGAAUGGCCUGGCUCUUAGAUUCCACUGGGAUGCCCACCUAGAACAUCUUUCCUCUUCUGUGUGCUGCAAGAUUCUCUUCAUUCUCUGAGUCUUGGCUCAGAGGCCUCCUCCUAGCUGAGUCCUCCUCGGGGCCCAGGUCACACUUGGAGCUUCUCAUGUCAGCUCUUAUGACUCUGGGUGCAUAUUUCUAUUAUUUUGUCACACAGUCCUAAUGUUAGGUGACUUCAUGUCCGUGUUCUCUACUAGGACAGACUAGGCUGAGUGCUGUACCUGGAGGGACUUCCUCUGGUCACAUCUGUGUCCCCAGGGCUCGCAUGGUGCUUGGCUCCAAAGCAGGUGUCCAUAAAGGGCUGGAGUAUGAAUGAGUGGCAGGAUGACAUUUUGACAUAUUAAUCUGUGUGUUUCUCAUAGUUUUCCACCCCACCCCUUCCAUUUUAAGUAUACUGGCCAGUUGGUAAUUCCUUAAUUUGGACUUGGUGCAAAGCAGACGAGCCUGAGUUCAAUGACUUCCUGUCCUUUGAACGAAUCUAAAUUCAGCGGGUUUUCUGUACAUUGUGGGGGAAGGGUAGGGGUAAAGAGGGAGAUGACCUUUGAGAAAGAAGAAAUGAAGGUCUAGAAAGGGGGAGAGAGUUGUGGGUGCCCUUACCCUUGAUGGAGGUGGCCAGCAAAGAUUUUUGCUCCCCAAAAUGACAUGAAAACAGAGUCAGCUACCGCCCAUCACUGGGGUUUGGCAAAUGAUGUAUCUACAUUGGAUGAAAGACAAGACCCCACCCUACCUUUCUGGGCACUUGAGAUCUGAGGGUCCUAAGUGGGGAAGGGAAAUGAAGCUUCAGGAAUGACCGACAUGGACUUUCUUGCCAACUGGGGCCUUGGAGUAGAAAUUAAAUUGAUGUAGGGGUGCCUGGGUGGCUCAGUUGGUUGUGUCUGACUCUUGAUUUCAGCUCAGCUCAUGAUCCCAGGAUCAUGGGAUUGAGCCCCAUGUCAGGCCCCAGGCUGAGUGUGGAGCCUGCUUAAAAUUCUCUCUCUCUCUCUGUCUCUCUCUCUGUCUCUCUCUCUCUCUCUCUCUCUCUCUCCCUCUCCCCAGCUUGUGUGCUUUCUCUCUCUCUAAAAUAAAAAAUAAUAUAAAAAUUUUUUAAUUAAAUUUAUUUAUAGGACAUAAAGAGGGGCACAGGGCUGGCACAGUUGGUAGAGCAAGUGACUUUUGAUCUUGGGGUCAUAGGUUUGAGCCCCACCUUGGGUGUAGAGAUUACUUAAAAAAUAAAAUCUUAGGGGUGCCUGGGUGACUCAGUGGGUUAAGCAUCCAGCUCUGCUUUUCAGCUCAGGUCAUGAUCCCAUAGUUUGUGGGAUCAAGACUCUCAUCAGGCUCCCAGACUGACAGCACAGAGACUACUUGGGAUUCUCUCUCUCCCUUUCUUUCUGUCUCCCCACCUCCACCCUGCUCACGCAUGUGCACGCAUGCACGUGUGUGCUCUCUCUCUCUCAAAAUAAAUAAAUCUUGAAAAAUCUUGAAAAAAUGCAUAGGACAUAAAAAAAUGGUAUUUCUUGCAUACUUGAGUUGGAGGAUAAAUUAUCAUCCACUAGGAAUGAAUUCUGGAGCCUUUAAGUCCUGAAACGUUGCUCCCCAUCCCCCUCUUCUGCCCCCCAAAUUUUGCCAAGACUUGAACUGGUCCAGAAUUUAGCCCCUCAUCCCCUCAUCUUUUGCCUGUAGUGUGGGCAUUUGGAGAAUGUUUUAUCAUUCUCAAGACUGGAUGGUGACCUGUCCUCAUGGCAGCCUGGCACAGCCCCAGAAGAGGAAUUCUUCAGCCACCAGACGUCCCCUUCCAGACACUGAAAGCCCCAGUAAGGCAAACUGUAUCCUUCGCUCAAGGAAGAUGGAGAAUAGAAGUGUUGUUCAAGGCCAAGCCCCAGGCAUGAGAGGACCCACUGGUCACCUCCAUUCUACUAAAGACCUCUUAGAAACCACAAGCAUCUCUAUCCCAUCUCCAGCCUCUCUCUUGUGCCUGCUGUCCCCCUCCACCUUGAUGCAGAGCCAAAGCUCCCAGGGAAUGGUGUGGUGACAGAAUGUCUGACUUUCUCAUGCUCCUUCAGCCUGGGGACACAACAUCUAUCUCUGAGGUAGACUGGGGAGGAGAAUAUAUGUUGAGAGGAGGAGAGCAGACCAGCAAAGAGAAGAAGGGAAGCUGAGUGGGGACUGGGUGGGUGGGGGACAGAGCGAGGAAGGAGAGCUUGGGUUGAGGUUCCCCCAAAAGCAGAGUCUGAGACAAGAGCUUGCACAUAGGUAGUUGACUUGGGAAGCUCCUCGGGUAGAGGAUGGAGGGACUGGGAAGAGUAGCAUGUGGAAGGAGGGAGAGCCAUUCCGGGGGAAUGCUACCACAUUGGUCUCCGUGGAGGCUGAACGGAGUAUGGUCCUGCUGGUCGCCUCUGAGGAGCACUGCAGAAGGGGCCAUAGAGUUGUCCACCCGAGGGAAAGAAGACAGGACACUCAUCUACCAGUUUCGGCCUCUGCUGGCUGAGUGUCGCCCCGUGGACUGUUGAUUCCUUCUUUCCUCCAGGUUCAUCCAGAGUCCUGUGUCUGAGGACAGGAGGGAAGUGGAAGAGGCAUGCAGCCAAAGCAGAAAUGUGGGCCAAGAAGAUGUAAGCCGGGACACAACGCAGGAGCGGAGGGCAGAUCCUCAGAUGGACUUCCUCCAUUCACACCCAUGAAAGAGUGUCUCUCCCAGAGCAGGGCCCCGUGGUCUCCGGUGACUCAGAUGGGUGAGGAAGAGGAGCAUGCACCACAGGCACCUGGGAGGGCAGAUGUUACAGAGGGAACAAGCUGCUCCUGUGAUGGGCAGUGGAGUAGAAGAUUGCAGCUUCCAGCCUGGAGGCCCCGCAAGGUCGGUUGCUGUGUCAUUCAGAGCUAGUCCUUACAGGAAAAAAAUGAGAGGGCAACACACAUUUGUUGAAAAAAUUUAAACUAUCUUUUGCAUUUAUUUUCAUGUUUUAAUACAAGUUAUAGACUUUCCUGGGGCACCUGGGUGGCUCAGUCGGUUAAGCAUUCCACUUCAGCUCAGGUCAUGAUCUCAUGGUCUGUGGGUUCGAGCCCCACGUCGGGCUCUGUGCUGACAGCUUGGAGCCUGGAGCCUGCUUCGGAUUCUGUGUCUCCCUCUCUCUCUGCCCCUCCCCCACUUGUGCUCUG
Long non-coding RNA from Acinonyx jubatus (cheetah), 3294 nucleotides. RefSeq lists it as uncharacterized. The record is from RefSeq and is a predicted model, not a curated record. NCBI's taxonomy places the organism in Eukaryota, Metazoa, Chordata, Mammalia, Carnivora, Felidae. The transcript has 3 exons.